CAAAGAAAGCAGAAACAAAACAACCUCGCCUGUAGAGCUAAGGAGAGUGGGACAGAAGGACAAUACAUCCCAAGCACUGUCAAGGGAGGGAGUAAGCCUGGGAGAAGAGUCUUAACGAGAAAGCCCCCACGAUCCCAGCAUCUUGGCUUCCGGGACCAAGCUCAGUUACCACCGGCAAGCAGCCAAGCCUGCACGUCUGCCACGGCCCAGGAGCUCUGCUGGGCUCUGCACAGGUUUUAUCCCUUCCAGGGAACUCUAAAAAGUUCCAAGAAAACAAAAGGGAGAUGGAACUGUUAGUUCUUCUAUGGAUAUUUUUUUAAUUCCUAUGGAGGUCUAAAAAAUGCACUUUUCAUUCCCAUUCUGAAAGAUUUUCCUUUUUAUUUUAUGAUUACCGUUAGAACAUGCAUGGUAGCUGUUGGCCUUGUAAACCCAGUUGUUAAACGUGGCACAAGAGUGGACUCUCUCUUUAUUAAAAACAAGGAUGUCUAAGAAAUACUGACACUCCAACCUUAUUCUACAGGGUUCAUUUUCACACAGCGUUGUCACAUUCAGGAAAAUCAUCCUUUUCAAUUUCACAGCAGAUUUCUCUUUACUAGAAUAGUUUUGUCACUGUUAAAUCAAUCCAAAAUACACUGAAAAUUCUGAAAAUU
Long non-coding RNA from Oxyura jamaicensis (ruddy duck), 650 nucleotides. RefSeq lists it as uncharacterized. Lineage: Eukaryota; Metazoa; Chordata; Aves; Anseriformes; Anatidae. The transcript is spliced from 2 exons. The record is from RefSeq and is a predicted model, not a curated record.